This 238-nucleotide ribosomal RNA is filed under the name uncultured bacterium. RNAcentral's name for it is "partial 16S ribosomal RNA". It matches the Rfam family "Bacterial small subunit ribosomal RNA", at positions 96 to 334 of the family's 1533-position model. The record is from RNAcentral.
UGGCGGACGGGUGAGUAACGCGUGGGUAACCUGCCUCAUACAGGGGGAUAACAGUUAGAAAUGGCUGCUAAUACCGCAUAAGACCACGGUACUGCAUGGUACAGUGGUAAAAACUCCGGUGGUAUGAGAUGGACCCGCGUCUGAUUAGGUAGUUGGUGAGGUAACGGCCCACCAAGCCGACGAUCAGUAGCCGACCUGAGAGGGUGACCGGCCACAUUGGGACUGAGACACGGCCCAG